Molecule: small RNA, 452 nt
Filed under: Pongo abelii (Sumatran orangutan)
Lineage: Eukaryota; Metazoa; Chordata; Mammalia; Primates; Hominidae
Description: processed transcript
Source: RNAcentral
GAGUAAAUUAUCAUGACAGAUAAAUACUACAAUUGUUACUCAUCAGCGACUGAAAAUCACUUUGGUUCUAAAAGCAGUCAAAACUAAUGAUAGUUUUCUAAUGGAUACAGGCAAUUGUUGACACAGUGGACAACCUUCUGAGACCUGAAGCUUUGGAAUCAUGGAAACAUAUGAAUUCUUCUGAACAAGCACAUACUGCAACAAUGUUACUCGAUACAUUGGAAGAAGGAGCUUUUGUCCUAGCUGACAAUCUUUUAGAACCAACAAGGGUCUCAAUGCCCACAGAAAAUAUUGUCCUGGAAGUUGCCGUACUCAGUACAGAAGGACAGAUCCAAGACUUUAAAUUUCCUCUGGGCAUCAAAGGAGCAGGCAGCUCAAUCCAACUGUCUGCAAAUACUGUCAAACAGAACAGCAGGAAUGGGCUUGCAAAGUUGGUGUUCAUCAUUUACCGG